GAUUCCAACGGAAAUCAUAUCUAUUUUCUUUGGAAGUUGAGGUUCAGCGAUAAAGUGCGUAAACCAAAUCCUCAUCUACUUCCUUCUCGUGUUCCUUGGAAUCGUUAUAAUCAAAGUAGCAAAAUCCAACACCAUGUUUUCUCCGUCCACACCAUUUCCUUCUAGAAUUCUCCCUUCUCCUUCAGUUACGACGCUUCAUGAGCAAACAGCUCCUCCUGCAGUUUCUUCUUUACCUUCUACUUUCACUGCUCAGUGUUUUCCUACCUCAGUUCUUCUGCAAGAGCAUCGCGAUGAAUAUAAACCUCUACUUCAUAUGCAUAAAGAAGACAAGACAGCCUUAAAUACAAGGGUAAUGGAUGUGAUGUCAGUUCAUGAGAAAAACAAUAAUGUCGAUGUUAAUGAGUCGUUGGAACGGCAGUUGCAUCUUCGCUGUCAUUUACAGAACUUAUUGGCUUCUUCGCCGCAAGAGGAUGAUUUCCAAUGGAGUGCACUUUCUCUUGCCAAGCAAGCUCUAUCAGCCUCGAAACAGGCCGCUGCAGUAGCUGAAGAGUUGAAAUUGGUUAAAAUUGACGAUGAUAGUUUGGCUGACUCUUUAACUGGAAAGAAUAAAAUCGUGAGGUCAACGCGGCUUAAAGAAAGGCAUUCUAAACUGAGAAAAGUGUCAAACUCGAAGGUUCUUGACGAAGAAAGGUACUUUAUAAAAAAGUCUGAUGUACAGAAAAGGUUACGUAUGGAGAAAAAGUUAAAAGAAAGGCUUGAUGGAAAUGAUGCUCUGCGCUUUUUCUUACGGAGUCCUGAAAUAAAGCAACUUUUGAACCUUGAUGAAGAGUCUCAGUUGAUUGCUCAGAUACAGGAUUUAUUUAAAUUGAAAGAAACAAAGGUCAAGCUUCAGUCUCGGUUUGGAAGAGAACCAACUUUAUCCGAAUGGGCAGAUGGUGUAGGCCUAAGCUGCCGCGUCCUUCAGGCACGGCUUCAUUCUGCUAACAAAAGCAAAGAUAAGCUGAUUCAGGCCAACUUACGCCUGGUUGUGCACAUUGCUAAAAGUUAUCAGGGGCGUGGUCUCCACCUUCAGGACUUAUUGCAGGAGGGAAGUAUGGGCCUUAUGAGGAGUAUCGAAAAGUACAAACCCCAAGCUGGUUGUCGGUUCAGUACUUAUGCUUACUGGUGGAUAAAGCAAACAAUGAGGAGGGCCAUAUAUCUGCAUUCCAAAACAAUUCGUAUUCCGGAGACUUUCUACAUCCUUUUGGCUAAAGUUGCGGACGCAAAGAAAUCUUACAUAAGAGAAGGAAAUCAUAACCCUACCAGAGAAGAAAUAGCAAGAAGAGUAGAAAUUACAGUAGAAAAGUUGGAACUGUUGCUAUUUUCUACAAGAACUCCGCUUUCGAUGGAGCGAGCUGUUUGGGCAGGCCAGAACACAACUUUCCAGAAAGGAGCCUUGAGCCAUCAGCAAUGGCCAAAAGAUUUCUUUUCAAUGGUGUGAAGGAGAUGCUAGAUCAUAUUGCUAAAAUUUAGUAAGUAUUAGAUGUAUAUCUAGCUAGUGAGUUGUGGUAAGCUAAGCAUUGUGUAACUGUCUGCACUGACACCUGUCAGUUUCUGUAGCUCCAUCACCUGCUACAGCAGGUAACUGGUUGCAACUAUAAAUGCAACUAGUUCUACUUUUCUUUAACUAACUUUCCAAAAUGAAAAGUUGUUAGAUCAAAAUGAAAAAUAUCUCUCCAUGUUUUCUAUCAGUAAGGGUUAAGCCUGGGAAGCAUAACAUAAUACCCACAACAUACGAGUAUCAAACAAACUGAAUAAACUAGUUCAACAUAACCACGUGGUUUGAUUUCAUUUCUCAUUCUUUUGGUUUAGUGUUUUGAGAGUAAACUGAACCGAGUCAUAUGUUUAAAUAUGUUUCUUACAAAAUUGUAUAUAUACAUUAUAUAGGUAUUAAGACUUGUGAGAUGUGACGUUGGUCUUGCUUGAGGUUGAUCCUCUGGCUAAACUAGAUUAAAUCAUGAACAAAACCUACUAAAUACGCCCCUAGUAAUUGAUUGGACUCACUUCACUAUAGUAUGUUCCUUAUAGAAGUUGGACCAUUCAAGUCUUGACGUUUUAAUUUGCACCUCUUUCCGGAUGCUUGUGUUAGACCUCUCAUUAAGGAAUUAAGAAAAAUAGAAUGUGUAGUUUUCUACCAAUUAUUAUAUUAUUAGGAGCAAUUUAGUGUUCGGUGCUAUAUUAUUAAGAAAAGUUAUGUUUAGAAUAAACAGAAGUUAUUGGAGAGUUUAUUAUCUUGGAAUUUGACCCCAAAGGGGCCAUUUUGGUAUUAGAGUAAAUAAAGACCUGCGAAAUUCUACUAUAUCAUUUUGUAAUUACAAGGACCUUCCCUGUUUCCUUCUUCUAUAUUACUUGGUUUCUGUUAACUGGUAUCAGAGCAAUUCUGAUCCAUGAAGAUUCUAUGGGUGUGCUGGAAAUUUUGGCAUGAAGAUGACUGUAGAUUUGAUUGAAGGGACGUCUAUUGGUGGUUGAUCCAGGUAGAGUAAUAUUUUGGUUCAAGAAAGAUGAGUGAAGAGAUGAAACUUUGUUGGAUUAUUGCAUUUGCAUUGGGAGGAGAUGCUCUUGAUUGGUGGUUUUCUUGAAAGAAGAACAAUCCAAAUAUUUGUUGGAGAUUACUGCAGACUCUUCAAUUGAAUUGCCAGACGUAUGUGUUGCAAAACAACUAAUGAGGAGCCAUGUACGUAACCUCGUAGACACAUUGAACCCAAAAGAAAGAAAGGUAAUUAGAUUGAGAUUUGGUAUUGA
RNA transcript from Vicia villosa (hairy vetch), 2781 nucleotides. It is a transcript of the gene named RNA polymerase sigma factor sigF, chloroplastic, with no coding region annotated. Lineage: Eukaryota; Viridiplantae; Streptophyta; Magnoliopsida; Fabales; Fabaceae. The transcript has 9 exons. The record is from RefSeq and is a predicted model, not a curated record.